ACCCUAAUCGGACCGGGGCGUCGGACUUAAAAUCCGUCAAGUGUCGGUUCGAGUCCGACUGGGGGCAC
Molecule: transfer RNA, 68 nt
Filed under: Mycobacterium marinum
Lineage: Bacteria; Bacillati; Actinomycetota; Actinomycetes; Mycobacteriales; Mycobacteriaceae
Description: tRNA-Leu
Rfam family: tRNA
About the family: Transfer RNA (tRNA) molecules are approximately 80 nucleotides in length. Their secondary structure includes four short double-helical elements and three loops (D, anti-codon, and T loops).
Source: RNAcentral